This 253-nucleotide ribosomal RNA is filed under the name uncultured bacterium. Its description in RNAcentral is "partial 16S ribosomal RNA". It matches the Rfam family "Bacterial small subunit ribosomal RNA", at positions 524 to 776 of the family's 1533-position model. The record is from RNAcentral.
UACGUAGGUGGCAAGCGUUGUCCGGAUUUAUUGGGCGUAAAGCGCGCGCAGGCGGACUGAUUAGUCCGGGGUGAAAUCUCACGGCUCAACCGUGAGCGGUCCCCGGAUACUGUCAGUCUUGAGGGGUCUAGAGGAGAGCGGAAUUCCCGGUGUAGUGGUGGAAUGCGUAGAUAUCGGGAAGAACACCAGUGGCGAAAGCGGCUCUCUGGGGAUCACCUGACGCUGAGGCGCGAAAGCGUGGGGAGCGAACCGG